This 253-nucleotide ribosomal RNA is filed under the name uncultured prokaryote. Its description in RNAcentral is "partial 16S ribosomal RNA". It matches the Rfam family "Bacterial small subunit ribosomal RNA", at positions 524 to 776 of the family's 1533-position model. The record is from RNAcentral.
UACGAGGGGUGCAAACGUUAUUCGGAAUUACUGGGCGUAAAGGGUGCGUAGACGGCGAUGCAAGUCGAUUAUAAAAUCUCUCGGCUUAACUGAGAGUCCGUGAUCGAAACUGCAUUGCUAGAGGGUGGAAGAGAGAAGUGGAAUUCUCGGAGUAGCGGUAAAAUGCGUAGAUCUCGAGAGGAACACCGAUGGCGAAGGCAGCUUCUUGGUCCAUUUCUGACGUUGAUGCACGAAAGCGUGGGGAGCAAACAGG